This 1022-nucleotide ribosomal RNA is filed under the name Gotozyma montana. Its description in RNAcentral is "SSU rRNA". It matches the Rfam family "Eukaryotic small subunit ribosomal RNA", at positions 1 to 1048 of the family's 1831-position model. Lineage: Eukaryota; Fungi; Ascomycota; Saccharomycetes; Phaffomycetales; Phaffomycetaceae. The record is from RNAcentral.
UCUGGUUGAUCCUGCCAGUAGUCACACGCUUGUCUCAAAGAUUAAGCCAUGCAUGUCUAAGUAUAAGCAAUUUAUACAGCGAAACUGCGAAUGGCUCAUUAAAUCAGUUAUAGUUUAUUUGAUAGUUCUUCUUUACUCGGUUAACCUCGGUAAAUCUGAUGCUACUACGUGCUUACAUCCCCGACUGUUUGGAAGGGGAGUAUUCGUUAGAUAAAAAAUCAAUGCCUUCGGGCUCUUUGAUGAUUCAUAGCGACUUUUCGAAUCGCAGGGCUUCUAGCCGGCGAUGGUUCAUUCAAAUUUCUGCCCUAUCAACUUUCGAAGGUAGGAUAGAGGCCUACCUUGGUGGCAACGGGUAACGGGGAAUCAGGGUUCGAUUCCGGAGAGGGAGCCUGAGAAACGGCUACCACAUCCAAGGAAGGCAGCAGGCGCGCAAAUUACCCAAUCCUAAUACAGGGAGGUAGUGACAAUAAAUAACGAUACAGGGGCCUUAUGGCUCUUGUAAUUGGAAUGAGUACUAUAUAAACCACACACCGAGGAACAAGUGGAGGGCAAGUCUGGUGCCAGCAGCCGCGGUAAUUCCAGCUCCACUAGCGUGUAUUAAAGUUGUUGCAGUUAAAAAGCUCGUAGUUGAACUUCGGGGUGGGUUUUUAGGGGUCCGUUUUACGACGAGUACUUCUGAGCCUGCCCUUCCGGUGGGGGGUUUCCUUCGGGGAAGUUUCCACCAGUCACUUUGAAAAAAUUAGAGUGUUCAAAGCAGGCAAUUUGCUCGAAUAUUUCAGCAUGGAAUGACAGAAUAGGACGUAUGGUUUUAUUUUGUUGGUUUUAAGGACCAAGCGUAAUGAUUAACAGGGACGGUCGGGGGCAUCAGUAUUCAAAUGUCAGAGGUGAAAUUCUUGGAUUCUUUGAAGACUAACUACUGCGAAAGCAUUUGCCAAGGACGUUUUCAUUAAUCAAGAACGAAAGUUAGGGGAUCGAAGAUGAUCAGAUACCGUCGUAGUCUUAACCAUAAACUAUGCCGACUA